AUUGAACGCUGGCGGAAUGCUUUACACAUGCAAGUCGAACGGCAGCACGGACUUCGGUCUGGUGGCGAGUGGCGAACGGGUGAGUAAUGUAUCGGAACGUGCCCAGUCGUGGGGGAUAACGUAGUGAAAAUUACGCUAAUACCGCAUACGAUCUAUGGAUGAAAGCGGGGGAUCGCAAGACCUCGCGCGAUUGGAGCGGCCGAUAUCAGAUUAGGUAGUUGGUGGGGUAAAGGCCCACCAAGCCAACGAUCUGUAGCUGGUCUGAGAGGACGACCAGCCACACUGGAACUGAGACACGGUCCAGACUCCUACGGGAGGCAGCAGUGGGGAAUUUUGGACAAUAGGCGAAGGCCUGAUCCAGCCAUUCCGCGUGCAGGAUGAAGGCCCUCGGGUUGUAAACUGCUUUUGUACAGAACGAAAAGGUUUCUACUAAUACUAGGAGCUCAUGACGGUACUGUAAGAAUAAGCACCGGCUAACUACGUGCCAGCAGCCGCAGUAA
RNAcentral lists this ribosomal RNA (500 nucleotides) under uncultured bacterium. RNAcentral's name for it is "partial 16S ribosomal RNA". It matches the Rfam family "Bacterial small subunit ribosomal RNA", at positions 30 to 523 of the family's 1533-position model. The record is from RNAcentral.